RNAcentral lists this unclassified non-coding RNA (2062 nucleotides) under uncultured fungus. RNAcentral describes it as "sequence contains 18S rRNA gene, ITS1, 5.8S rRNA gene, ITS2, 28S rRNA gene". The stretch from base 929 to 2062 matches the Rfam family "Eukaryotic large subunit ribosomal RNA", at positions 1 to 961 of the family's 3401-position model. The record is from RNAcentral. Lineage: Eukaryota; Fungi.
GGAGGGAUCAUUAACACGUAUCCAAUACACGUUUACAAACCCAAACCGGUCUCCCAUGUGCCCAUAGAGGAAGGUGACUCGCAAGCCACAGGUGGAUCGAUCUCUUCGCGGAGAUUCCUACUUGCAGUCUACAGGUACCUUUGAGGCCAACCGAUUCUCUAUGGCGUAUAAAAGCCACCUGGGCUACUUGUGCCAACCCGGUAUCGACCCGGAGCCUUGUAGCCUUACUACUCCUUAAUUUUUUAAACCCCUUUCUUUUACUAUAGAACUGAUCUUAUGUCACCUACCCAGUGUGUUAUAGCUCUGGUGUAUGUACAUGUAUACGAAACGCGAACAACUCUUAGCAACGGAUAUCUUGGUUCUCGUACCGAUGAAGAACGCAGCGAAAUGCGAUACGUAAUGCGAAUUGCAGAAUUCAGUGAAUCAUCAAAUCUUUGAACGCAAAUGGCGCUCUCGGGAUAGCCCUGGGAGCAUGCCUCUCUGAGUAUCGGUUCUAUCAUCUCUUCGGCAGCGCCUUGUGUGUGACUUGUCGCACACCAGGACUCUGCCAGAAAGGAAAAUGAGUGUCCCGGCUUUCUCAAGAGUCCGAGUCACUUGAAAACUAUGCGACCUUCAGAACUCCUAGUAGCUUCUUGUUGUUGUAUGCCUCUUCGGUGGUGUACCGCAGGAAUAGUCCAGCCAUGGGUCUCCCUCACUCCUGUGAGGGCUGAUUGGCUUGUCUACUGGUGACGUGGAUAGAAUACCUUCGGGUGUUUCCCAAACGUCAAUAUCAGCGGAUGAGUCCGAUUGGAUUUUUUGUGUUUUAAUUAACCAAACAAUGGCCAAGGUUGGUGCGAACGACUAGUUGAGCCACUGAUUUACAUUGGUCUGCACUGAAAAUUACAUUAUUGGGUGUGUUGGGUGCAAGCUCAACGCCCAUUUUGAAUAUAGAUCUCAGAUGAAGCAAGAGGACCCCCUGAAUUUAAGCAUAUUAUUAAGGGGAGGAAAAGAAACUAACAAGGAUUCCCCUAGUAACGGCGAGUGAAGCGGGAAGAGCUCAAAAUGAAAAUCGGCCAUCCAUGCGGGUGUGUCGAGUUGUAGCCUAGAGACGUAUUGUCAGCGUGUGACCCAGGUAUAAAUCUUUUGAAACAAGGUAUCAUAGAGGGUGAGAAUCCCGUCUUUGACCUGGAGCUCGCCGCGUACGACGUACGUUCAUCGAGUCGAGUUGUUUGGGAUUGCAGCUCUAAAUGGGUGGUAAAUUUCAUCUAAAGCUAAAUAUCGACGAGAGACCGAUAGCGAACAAGUACCGUGAGGGAAAGAUGAAAAGAACUUUGAAAAGAGAGUUAAAAAGUACUUGAAAUUGUUAAGAGGGAAGCGCUGGAAACCAGUCCAUGUUAACUAGUAGUUAUACUUACUACCUGCUCUCGAAGAAGUAUUGCGGAUCAGAGCGCAAGCCUGGUCGGGUCUUGGACGAAGGGCAAGUGGGUCCUGUAGCUAUUAGUGGGUCAGAAUCAAUUCGAUUCGCGGGUGAAGACUACGAGGAAGGUGGGGUCUCCGGAUCUGUUAUAGCCUUGUAGGCCUGACCGUGGGUUGGAUUGAGGAUGUAACAAUGUGCGCCGCAAGGUUUCGAUUCCUAUGCUCCUGCUCGGUCAGCCGCUUUGGAGAGCAAUGCUCUGCGGGUAGCGAAGCUAAGUACUGAGUAUGGGAUAUCAGAUGCACAUUCGCGAUUCUGACAAAAUGGUUUUCAUCGACCCGUCUUGAAACACGGACCAAGGAGUCUAACAUGUAUGCGAGUAUUUGGGUGGAUUAAACCCUGAUGCGUAAUGAAAGUGAAGGCAGUUUCGGCUGCUGAGGUAGGAAUCUGGAGCUUGCUCUAGAGGCACUAUCGACCGAUCGUCACUUGUGAUAGAUUUGAGUAAGAGCAUAUCUGUUGGGACCCGAAAGAUGGUGAUCUAUGCCUGAACAGGGUGAAGCCAGGGGAAACUCUGGUGGAGGCUCGUAGCGAUACUGACGUGCAAAUCGUUCGUCUGAUUUGGGUAUAGGGGCGAAAGACUAAUCGAACCAUUUAGUAGCUGGUUCCCUC